Small nuclear RNA from Aotus nancymaae (Ma's night monkey), 72 nucleotides. Its record names the gene U5. It matches the Rfam family "U5 spliceosomal RNA". From Rfam's summary of the family: U5 RNA is a component of both types of known spliceosome. The precise function of this molecule is unknown, though it is known that the 5' loop is required for splice site selection and p220 binding, and that both the 3' stem-loop and the Sm site are important for Sm protein binding and cap methylation. The record is from Ensembl. NCBI's taxonomy places the organism in Eukaryota, Metazoa, Chordata, Mammalia, Primates, Aotidae.
UCUAGUUUCUCUUCAGAUUGUAUAAAUCUUUCGCCUUUUACUAAAGAUUUCCGUGGAGAGGAACAACUCAGA